Molecule: transfer RNA, 66 nt
Filed under: Psylliodes cupreatus
Lineage: Eukaryota; Metazoa; Arthropoda; Insecta; Coleoptera; Chrysomelidae
Description: tRNA-Tyr
Rfam family: tRNA
About the family: Transfer RNA (tRNA) molecules are approximately 80 nucleotides in length. Their secondary structure includes four short double-helical elements and three loops (D, anti-codon, and T loops).
Source: RNAcentral
GGUAAAAUGGCUGAGAUUUAGGCGAUAAAUUGUAAAUUUAUUAACGAAUUAUAAAUUCUUUUACCA